Molecule: non-coding RNA, 326 nt
Organism: Leptonychotes weddellii (Weddell seal)
Lineage: Eukaryota; Metazoa; Chordata; Mammalia; Carnivora; Phocidae
Source: RefSeq, a predicted model, not a curated record
AAGCCCCGGGGACCUGAGGCUUUAGGCGCUGCGGACACAGCUCGGGUGCCAGCGAGGGCACAGCAUGGGCAGAGGCUUCUGGACUGCGCGAUGAGCGGAGGCAGGUAACUUCCGAGUCUGCAGACAAGAGGGGAAGAUGAAGGAAGACUGUCCGCCCAGUUCUCACGUCCCCAUCAGCGACAGCAAGUCCAUCCUGAAGUCGGAGCUCUUAAGCUUGCUAAAAACUUACAACUGCUACCAUGAGGGCAGAAGCUUUCAGCUGAGACACCGAGAGGUAAGGCCUGUUUCUCUUCUUUAUUCAUAGGCCACCAUCCAUCUUGGUUUGC